This 1533-nucleotide ribosomal RNA is filed under the name Limosilactobacillus fermentum. Its description in RNAcentral is "bacterial SSU rRNA". It matches the Rfam family "Bacterial small subunit ribosomal RNA". Lineage: Bacteria; Bacillati; Bacillota; Bacilli; Lactobacillales; Lactobacillaceae. The record is from RNAcentral.
GUUUGAUCCUGGCUCAGGAUGAACGCCGGCGGUGUGCCUAAUACAUGCAAGUUCGAACGCGUUGGCCCAAUUGAUUGAUGGUGCUUGCACCUGAUUGAUUUUGGUCGCCAACGAGUGGCGGACGGGUGAGUAACACGUAGGUAACCUGCCCAGAAGCGGGGGACAACAUUUGGAAACAGAUGCUAAUACCGCAUAAACGUUGUUCGCAUGAACAACGCUUAAAAGAUGGCUUCUCGCUAUCACUUCUGGAGGACCUGCGGUGCAUUAGCUUGUUGGUGGGGUAAUGGCCUACCAAGGCGAUGAUGCAUAGCCGAGUUGAGAGACUGAUCGGCCACAAUGGGACUGAGACACGGCCCAUACUCCUACGGGAGGCAGCAGUAGGGAAUCUUCCACAAUGGGCGCAAGCCUGAUGGAGCAACACCGCGUGAGUGAAGAAGGGUUUCGGCUCGUAAAGCUCUGUUGUUAAAGAAGAACACGUAUGAGAGUAACUGUUCAUACGUUGACGGUAUUUAACCAGAAAGUCACGGCUAACUACGUGCCAGCMGCCGCGGUAAUACGUAGGUGGCAAGCGUUAUCCGGAUUUAUUGGGCGUAAAGAGAGUGCAGGCGGUUUUCUAAGUCUGAUGUGAAAGCCUUCGGCUUAACCGGAGAAGUGCAUCGGAAACUGGAUAACUUGAGUGCAGAAGAGGGUAGUGGAACUCCAUGUGUAGCGGUGGAAUGCGUAGAUAUAUGGAAGAACACCAGUGGCGAAGGCGGCUACCUGGUCUGCAACUGACGCUGAGACUCGAAAGCAUGGGUAGCGAACAGGAUUAGAUACCCUGGUAGUCCAUGCCGUAAACGAUGAGUGCUAGGUGUUGGAGGGUUUCCGCCCUUCAGUGCCGGAGCUAACGCAUUAAGCACUCCGCCUGGGGAGUACGACCGCAAGGUUGAAACUCAAAGGAAUUGACGGGGGCCCGCACAAGCGGUGGAGCAUGUGGUUUAAUUCGAAGCUACGCGAAGAACCUUACCAGGUCUUGACAUCUUGCGCCAACCCUAGAGAUAGGGCGUUUCCUUCGGGAACGCAAUGACAGGUGGUGCAUGGUCGUCGUCAGCUCGUGUCGUGAGAUGUUGGGUUAAGUCCCGCAACGAGCGCAACCCUUGUUACUAGUUGCCAGCAUUAAGUUGGGCACUCUAGUGAGACUGUCGGUGACAAACCGGAGGAAGGUGGGGACGACGUCAGAUCAUCAUGCCCCUUAUGACCUGGGCUACACACGUGCUACAAUGGACGGUACAACGAGUCGCAAACUCGCGAGGGCAAGCAAAUCUCUUAAAACCGUUCUCAGUUCGGACUGCAGGCUGCAACUCGCCUGCACGAAGUCGGAAUCGCUAGUAAUCGCGGAUCAGCAUGCCGCGGUGAAUACGUUCCCGGGCCUUGUACACACCGCCCGUCACACCAUGAGAGUUUGUAACACCCAAAGUCGGUGGGGUAACCUUUUAGGAGCCAGCCGCCUAAGGUGGGACAGAUGAUUAGGGUGAAGUCGUAACAAGGUAGCCG